AUUGAACGCUGGCGGCACGCUUAACACAUGCAAGUCGAACGGUAGCAGGCUCUUCGGAGCGCUGACGAGUGGCGGACGGGUGAGUAAUGCGUAGGAAUCUGCCUCGUUGAGUGGGAUAGCCUAGGGAAACUUAGGGUAAUACCGCAUAAGCCCUACGGGGGAAAUGCAGGGGAUCGCAAGACCUUGCGCAAUGAGAUGAGCCUACGUCGGAUUAGCUAGUUGGUGGGGUAAAGGCCUACCAAGGCGAUGAUCCGUAGCUGGUCUGAGAGGACGACUAGCCACACUGGGACUGAGACACGGCCCAGACUCCUACGGGAGGCAGCAGUGGGGAAUAUUGGACAAUGGGCGAAAGCCUGAUCCAGCGAUGCCGCGUGUGUGAGGAAGGCCUGCGGGUUGUAAAGCACUUUCAGUGGGGAGGAAAGAACCUAUGCCUAAUAAUGCGUAGGGAAAGAUGUUACCCACAGAAGAAGCACCGGCUAACUCUGUGCC
RNAcentral lists this ribosomal RNA (489 nucleotides) under uncultured bacterium. RNAcentral's name for it is "bacterial SSU rRNA". It matches the Rfam family "Bacterial small subunit ribosomal RNA", at positions 30 to 509 of the family's 1533-position model. The record is from RNAcentral.